GAAAUGCGAUAAGUAGUGUGAAUUGCAGAAUUCAGUGAAUCAUCGAAUCUUUGAACGCACAUUGCGCCCUUUGGCAUUCCGAAGGGCAUGCCUGUUCGAGCGUCAUUGCAACCCCUCCGGCCGCCCGCUUGUUUGGGCGGGCCGGGCGUUGGGCGUCUUGUGGCUGCGGCCACUCGCCUGAAAAGCAUCGGCGCCGGCGCGUCGGCCCCCCGCGCGUAGCACAUUGUUCGCGCCCCUGGGGACCCCGCCGCGGCGGCUGCCCGCAAGCAACCACGUCUUUCUUGACUUGACCUCGGAUCAGGUAGGGAUACCCGCUGAACUUAA
RNAcentral lists this unclassified non-coding RNA (324 nucleotides) under uncultured Dothideomycetes. Its description in RNAcentral is "sequence contains ITS1". The stretch from base 1 to 105 matches the Rfam family "5.8S ribosomal RNA", at positions 50 to 154 of the family's 154-position model. Lineage: Eukaryota; Fungi; Ascomycota; Dothideomycetes. The record is from RNAcentral.